This 771-nucleotide non-coding RNA is filed under the name Pongo abelii (Sumatran orangutan). The record is from RNAcentral. Lineage: Eukaryota; Metazoa; Chordata; Mammalia; Primates; Hominidae.
AAUGGGCAUCCCACCCCAGCACUUUCUAGGAAGAAGGGCAACAUUUUGAAGGGCUGGAAGUAGAGAAAGAAGGUUGCGGGUAGAAGACUCCAUACUUUCUGUGACGCCUAUUCCUUAGCCAGAGGCGUGGCUUGCCUGGGCCUCUGGGUGCAGCUGCACAGACUCAAGCAGCCUGAAGGAAAGGUGACUGACAGUUAAUGAUCUGAAAAGAACUUGUCUCAACUCAACGUCAUUCCUGGCAUUAUCGAACAAAGCAAUAAACCUCACAGAAUGGAAGCUACAGUGUCCAGGGCCAGCUCUGCUAAGGUAACCAAAGACAGAGAAGGAGGCAAAAGUGACAGAAGAAACUCAUGGGAAACCAACAGAAAUAUAAUGGCUUUGGCAGAAAUGCAAUUAUCAAUUGGGAGCUUGUGAUGAAUGUUUUCUCAGUAUCCUAUGCUGAAAACAGGUAGAUACUAAUCCCUCCUUCAAGGGAGGGCUGUUGAGUAUUGAAUAAGAUAAAAACAUGGAAGCAAUCAGCACAAUGCUGGAAUCAAGCCUAUCUGUAAUCACAGGGCUAUUUGAAAAAGAGAAGAAAAGGUGUCUUGAAAUUAAACCAACAUGUUUCAAUUAUUUGCUCCUAAGAACAACAGAAGUUUCAACAUUCUGCCAACACAGUAACUCCUGGGAGAUUGGCACAGAAGAAGGCACAAGAAUAUUUAAGCAGCUUUGUCUGCCUUAGACCUUCCACCUAAAAGUACAGCAAGUGGAAUGGAAUGCUAAUAUGAGGAU